RNAcentral lists this ribosomal RNA (904 nucleotides) under Echiniscus tropicalis. RNAcentral's name for it is "SSU rRNA". It matches the Rfam family "Eukaryotic small subunit ribosomal RNA", at positions 138 to 949 of the family's 1831-position model. The record is from RNAcentral. Lineage: Eukaryota; Metazoa; Tardigrada; Heterotardigrada; Echiniscoidea; Echiniscidae.
CAUGGAUAACUGUGGUAAUUCUAGAGCUAAUACAUGCAGUAAGCCUUGACCCUUACGGGCAAGGCGCAGUUAUUAGAUCAAAAACCAAUCGGUUGUGUCUUCGGAUGCAGCCGUUAGCUUGGUGACUCUGAGUAACCACAGCGAACCGUAUGGCCUCGUGCUCGACGGUCUGUCAGUCAAGCAACUGCCUUAUCAGCUUGUUGUUAGGUUAUAUGCCUAACAAGGCUUCAACGGGUAACGAACGAUCGGGGUCGGAUAUCGGAGAGGGAGCUUGAGAAACGGCUACCACUUCCAAGGAAGGCAGCAGGCGCGCAAAUUACCCACUCUCGGCAUGAGGAGGUAGCGAUAAAAUGUAUCGAUGCGGGGCCAUUAGUGCCUUCGUAAUCGGAAUGAGUACACUUUAAAUCCUAUAACAAGGACCUAUUGGAGGGCAAGUCUGGUGCCAGCAGCCGCGGUAAUUCCAGCUCCAAUAGCGUAUAUUAAUGCUGCUGCGGUUAAAAAGCUCGUAGUCGGAUCUGGGUUACCGGCGGGUACCGCAUGUUGCUUCACGCAGCAUGUUGUGUACUAUACGUGUCGCUUCGGCGGCACUGCCAGUGUAAUUGUGCCUCACGUAGGUGCGUUACGCUGGUCGCCGGAACCACGAGCCGGGUUGAGCGGCAUGCUCUUAAUUGAGUGUGUUGUUUACUCGGUGCGUUUACUUUGAAAAAAUUGGAGUGCUCAAAGCAAGCGUGUACAGUCGCUAUGCGGCUUGAACAGUGGUGCAUGGAAUAAUGGAAUAGGGCCUCGGUUCUAUUUUGUUGGUUUUAAGAUAUCGAGGUAAUGAUUAAGAGGGACAGACGGGGACGUUUGUAUUGCGACGUUAGAGGUGAAAUUCUUGGAUCGUCGCAAGACACACUAAUGCGAA